Alnus glutinosa is the source of this 784-nucleotide long non-coding RNA. RefSeq lists it as uncharacterized. The transcript has 3 exons. The record is from RefSeq and is a predicted model, not a curated record. NCBI's taxonomy places the organism in Eukaryota, Viridiplantae, Streptophyta, Magnoliopsida, Fagales, Betulaceae.
UUCUCCCUCUCCUCUCUGUUCCACAUAGCCCCCCAUAUUCAACACAUGGCCCGACCCCCACCUCUCCAUUUCUCCUUCUUCCGUCACACAACACCCGAACCCCUCCAUUUUCUUCCUUCUCUUCUUCCCUUCGUCUUCCUCCUCUCUUCACUCACCAUCACACACACCCAGCCGAGAGAGAGAUGAAUUGAGAGAGAGAGCUACUAAGAGUGAAAACCCGUGAGUGAGGAAGUUAUUUUUUGGCCUUUGGAGGAGCGGUUUGAAGCUAGGUGGUCGGACAACCGUCAUAGCGUGGAGGCAGCGGCUGGCACAAUGGAUUCUGACCUUGUUUUGGAUAGUGUCCGGAUUGGAGACUUCAAUUGAUUCUCCAAUGUAGAGUCCAAGUGACUAGAAUCCGAGGGGAUGUUCAAGUCAAGAGUCUAAUGCAGCCAGAUACAGCAACCCCCGCAUCUGUGCAGAUUUUGAUGAUGGCUGCAGGUACUCCAGUCGUAGUUGACGGUCUCGUAGAUGUGUUUUGGGAUAUUAUGACCGAAGCUCGACGCGACGGCUGUAGCGUGACAGACCGCGGGAUGUUCAUUAUUUUGGGUAAUUUGUUUAUGGCUCAUGACGUUUGUGUCACCUAAUCUUUGUCAAGCCAUUUCUGUUAUGUAUUUAUUAUAUUGAGGAAAGACUUAAAUAGAUAGAUGUUAAAUGGCUCUUGUUGUAAUUAAUUUAUGAUAGAUGAUUAAGAUGUGACUUGUGCUAUUAGGUUUAUGUUUUCCACUGCAUAGUAGAUAGAUGUUAU